This is a long non-coding RNA of Homo sapiens (human), 1015 nucleotides long. RefSeq lists it as uncharacterized. Lineage: Eukaryota; Metazoa; Chordata; Mammalia; Primates; Hominidae. The record is from RefSeq and is a predicted model, not a curated record. The transcript has 4 exons.
UCUAAGCAAAGGGAGACAUAAUUCAUAGCUCCUAUCAUGAGACAUAAAGCACUCUGCCAGGAGGUAUAUUCCAAACCAGCAUUGGCUCCUCUUCCUUACUCAAGAAACCAGUUUUUCACAAAACCAUCACCCCAUCCAAACUUUCCUUCAGGCUUCCUGGCCCUCGGUCAAGCAGUUAAGUCAUUCUGUUGCAGCCCUUAUUUAGGAACUGCUGGCAGGCUGGCUGAGGAACCAGGGAAUCGUGGAGGGAAAGAGAGCCAACUUCUGCAGCUUCCCAAAGCUGUACGACCACGCGCAAGGGCAGAACACUAUUUAUAGGAUCCCACCUAAGUUUCUUGGGGGAAUAAAGGAAGCAGGACGGUUGGUGGUGAGGUGACGAAGGAACAGUUACCACGGAGAUUGGAAGAGGACAACAAUCUCUGGGGAUGCAGUUGCUCCCAGAUCAGUCUUACCAGGAUGUAGACACAUUCCAGGGGAAAUUUCGCAGCACUCUCUACCGUUAUAUUUCCGAAGAAGCAGCAUCAACUGGUCUUUGCUGAGCUUCUGAGAUCCAAGUUGGAAGCCCUGGAAGGUGCUACAAUAAGGCAAUAGUUUCUAACAGGAUUUUUACUUUUCUAAAAAAAUAAGAAUUUGUUCCAUGUUUCUUAAAAUAUGUCUGCUUUUUGUAACAAAAAUUAAAAUUGGGCCAGGUGAAGUGGCUCACGCCUGUAAUCCUAGGACUUUGGGAGGCCGAGGCAGGUGGAUCACCAGAGGUCAAGAGUUCAAGACCAGCCUGUCCCAACAUGGUGAAACCCCCAUCUCUACUAAAAAUACAAAAAUUAGCCAGGUGUGGUGGUGCAUGCCUGUAAUCCUAGCUACUCAGGAGGCUGAGACAGGAGAAUCGCUUGAACCCGGGAGGCGGAGGUUGCAGUGAGUUAAGAUGGCACCACUGCAUUCUAGCCUGGGCGACAGAGUGAGACUGUCUCAAAAUAAAUAAAUAAAUAAUAAAUAAAUAAAUAAAAAGUUACCCCAUAAA